GAUGAACGCUGGCGGCGUGCCUAAUACAUGCAAGUCGAGCGAACAGACGAGGAGCUUGCUCCUCUGACGUUAGCGGCGGACGGGUGAGUAACACGUGGAUAACCUACCUAUAAGACUGGGAUAACUUCGGGAAACCGGAGCUAAUACCGGAUAAUAUAUUGAACCGCAUUGUUCAAUAGUGAAAGACGGUUUUGCUGUCACUUAUAGAUGGAUCCGCGCCGCAUUAGCUAGUUGGUAAGGUAACGGCUUACCAAGGCAACGAUGGGUAGCCGACCUGAGAGGGUGGUCGGCCACAGUGGAACUGAGACACGGUCCAGACUCCUACGGGAGGCAGCAGUAGGGAAUCUUCCGCAAUGGGCGAAAGCUUGACGGAGCAACGCCGCGUGAGUGAUGAAGGUCUUCGGAUCGUAAAACUCUGUUAUUAGGGAAGAACAAAUGUGUAAGUAACUAUGCACGUCUUGACGGUACCUAAUCAGAAAGCCACGGCUAACUACGUG
This 497-nucleotide ribosomal RNA is filed under the name uncultured bacterium. RNAcentral's name for it is "partial 16S ribosomal RNA". It matches the Rfam family "Bacterial small subunit ribosomal RNA", at positions 28 to 507 of the family's 1533-position model. The record is from RNAcentral.